UUGUUUUCCUUCUCUCUCUGAACCUUGGUAUGUAUUUUGAUUGAAUCACAGGGAGAAAGAAUUAGCCGCUGUUAAGAUAAAUGCAGCAGAUGUUGAUAUAAUUGCAAACGAACUAGAGUUGGACAAAAAGGUGGCUGAAAGAACCCUGCGUGAGCAUAAAGGUGAUGAUGUUGCUGCCAUUCGUCAUUUGCUUCACUAGUGUGGUAGAAACAAACAAGGGAAUAUGAUCUGUAUUGGCUUAUAUUUACUAUUUUGCAUUGAAAUUUGAAUCUCAAAUGUAUACUAUGAUGAUGAUGAUAUAGUUCAUUAGAAAUUUGAACUAUGAUGUUGAUGAUAUUGGAAUAAGCCUCACCCCCUCAAUUUUUGUGGUCCAAAUGAAGCUCCUAUUAGCUUACGGAGUUUGGUUAUUCACGAAGAUCUUCUUGCUUGUUGUACUUAUAUAGUUUGUCAUCAUCAAGCUAAGCUAGUACUAGUUUCUACUCAAAUGUAACAGCUCUACAUGCUUUUGUGAUUACAUUAUGUUGCUUCUGACGAUCCAACAAUUAUCUGACUUGCU
Molecule: long non-coding RNA, 556 nt
Organism: Lathyrus oleraceus (garden pea)
Lineage: Eukaryota; Viridiplantae; Streptophyta; Magnoliopsida; Fabales; Fabaceae
Exons: 2
Source: RefSeq, a predicted model, not a curated record